This 1565-nucleotide ribosomal RNA is filed under the name Vibrio crassostreae. Its description in RNAcentral is "bacterial LSU rRNA". It matches the Rfam family "Bacterial large subunit ribosomal RNA", at positions 1271 to 2817 of the family's 2925-position model. The record is from RNAcentral. Lineage: Bacteria; Pseudomonadati; Pseudomonadota; Gammaproteobacteria; Vibrionales; Vibrionaceae.
UGCUGGAGGUAUCAGAAGUGCGAAUGCUGACAUGAGUAACGAUAAAGGGAGUGAAAAACUCCCUCGCCGGAAGACCAAGGGUUCCUGUCCAACGUUAAUCGGGGCAGGGUAAGUCGACUCCUAAGGCGAGGCCGAAAGGCGUAGUCGAUGGGAAACAGGUUAAUAUUCCUGUACUUCUUACAAUUGCGAUGGGGGGACGGAGAAGGCUAGGUGGGCCUGGCGACGGUUGUCCAGGUUCAAGUACGUAGGCGGGUGGUUUAGGUAAAUCCGGACCGCUACUAACGCUGAGAUACGAUGUCGAGCUACUACGGUAGUGAAGUCAUUGAUGCCAUGCUUCCAGGAAAAGCCUCUAAGCUUCAGAUUGUAAGGAAUCGUACCCCAAACCGACACAGGUGGUCGGGUAGAGAAUACCAAGGCGCUUGAGAGAACUCGGGUGAAGGAACUAGGCAAAAUGGUACCGUAACUUCGGGAGAAGGUACGCUCUUAUCAGUGAAGUCCCUUGCGGAUGGAGCAGACGAGAGUCGCAGAUACCAGGUGGCUGCAACUGUUUAUUAAAAACACAGCACUGUGCAAAAUCGUAAGAUGACGUAUACGGUGUGACGCCUGCCCGGUGCCGGAAGGUUAAUUGAUGGGGUUAGACUUCGGUCGAAGCUCUUGAUCGAAGCCCCGGUAAACGGCGGCCGUAACUAUAACGGUCCUAAGGUAGCGAAAUUCCUUGUCGGGUAAGUUCCGACCUGCACGAAUGGCGUAAUGAUGGCCACGCUGUCUCCACCCGAGACUCAGUGAAAUUGAAAUCGCUGUGAAGAUGCAGUGUACCCGCGGCUAGACGGAAAGACCCCGUGAACCUUUACUACAGCUUGGCACUGAACAUUGAACCUACAUGUGUAGGAUAGGUGGGAGACUUUGAAACCGCGUCGCUAGAUGUGGUGGAGUCGUCCUUGAAAUACCACCCUUGUAGUUUUGAUGUUCUAACGUUGGUCCCUGAAUCGGGAUUACGGACAGUGCCUGGUGGGUAGUUUGACUGGGGCGGUCUCCUCCCAAAGAGUAACGGAGGAGCACGAAGGUGGGCUAAACACGGUUGGACAUCGUGUGGUUAGUGCAAUGGCAUAAGCCCGCUUGACUGCGAGAAUGACAAUUCGAGCAGGUGCGAAAGCAGGUCAUAGUGAUCCGGUGGUUCUGAAUGGAAGGGCCAUCGCUCAACGGAUAAAAGGUACUCCGGGGAUAACAGGCUGAUACCGCCCAAGAGUUCAUAUCGACGGCGGUGUUUGGCACCUCGAUGUCGGCUCAUCACAUCCUGGGGCUGAAGUCGGUCCCAAGGGUAUGGCUGUUCGCCAUUUAAAGUGGUACGCGAGCUGGGUUUAGAACGUCGUGAGACAGUUCGGUCCCUAUCUGCCGUGGGCGUUGGAAAAUUGAAAGGGGCUGCUCCUAGUACGAGAGGACCGGAGUGGACGAACCUCUGGUGUUCGGGUUGUCAUGCCAAUGGCAUUGCCCGGUAGCUAAGUUCGGAAUCGAUAACCGCUGAAAGCAUCUAAGCGGGAAGCGAGCCUUGAGAUGAGUUUUCCCUG